GCCAGUUUGGUGUAUUGGUUAGAGUGUUGGACUAUGACUCUGAAGACCAGGGUUUGAAUCCCUGCUCUGCCA
Molecule: non-coding RNA, 72 nt
Organism: Phrynosoma platyrhinos (Desert horned lizard)
Lineage: Eukaryota; Metazoa; Chordata; Lepidosauria; Squamata; Phrynosomatidae
Source: the annotation of a GenBank genome assembly